GGCAGGCCUAACACAUGCAAGUCGAACGGUAACAGGAAGCAGCUUGCUGCUUCGCUGACGAGUGGCGGACGGGUGAGUAAUGUCUGGGAAACUGCCUGAUGGAGGGGGGAUAACUACUGGAAACGGUAGCUAAUACCGCAUAACGUCGCAAGACCAAAGAGGGGGACCUUCGGGCCUCUUGCCAUCGGAUGUGCCCAGAUGGGAUUAGCUAGUAGGUGGGGUAACGGCUCACCUAGGCGACGAUCCCUAGCUGGUCUGAGAGGAUGACCAGCCACACUGGAACUGAGACACGGUCCAGACUCCUACGGGAGGCAGCAGUGGGGAAUAUUGCACAAUGGGCGCAAGCCUGAUGCAGCCAUGCCGCGUGUAUGAAGAAGGCCUUCGGGUUGUAAAGUACUUUCAGCGGGGAGGAAGGCGAUAAGGUUAAUAACCUUGUCGAUUGACGUUACCCGCAGAAGAAGCACCGGCUAACUCCGUGCCAGCAGCCGCGGUAAUACGGAGGGUGCAAGCGUUAAUCGGAAUUACUGGGCGUAAAGCGCACGCAGGCGGUCUGUCAAGUCGGAUGUGAAAUCCCCGGGCUCAACCUGGGAACUGCAUUCGAAACUGGCAGGCUAGAGUCUUGUAGAGGGGGGUAGAAUUCCAGGUGUAGCGGUGAAAUGCGUAGAGAUCUGGAGGAAUACCGGUGGCGAAGGCGGCCCCCUGGACAAAGACUGACGCUCAGGUGCGAAA
This 729-nucleotide ribosomal RNA is filed under the name Enterobacter hormaechei. RNAcentral describes it as "bacterial SSU rRNA". It matches the Rfam family "Bacterial small subunit ribosomal RNA", at positions 41 to 758 of the family's 1533-position model. The record is from RNAcentral. Lineage: Bacteria; Pseudomonadati; Pseudomonadota; Gammaproteobacteria; Enterobacterales; Enterobacteriaceae.